RNAcentral lists this ribosomal RNA (495 nucleotides) under uncultured bacterium. RNAcentral describes it as "partial 16S ribosomal RNA". It matches the Rfam family "Bacterial small subunit ribosomal RNA", at positions 28 to 507 of the family's 1533-position model. The record is from RNAcentral.
GGCGAACGCUGGCGGCGUGCCUAAUACAUGCAAGUAGGACGCUGAAGGAGGAGCUUGCUCUUCUGGAUGAGUUGCGAACGGGUGAGUAACGCGUAGGUAACCUGCCUGGUAGCGGGGGAUAACUAUUCGAAACGAUAGCUAAUACCGCAUAACAGUAGAUGUUGCAUGACAUUCGCUUAAAAGGUGCAAUUGCACCACUACCAGAUGGACCUGCGUUGUAUUAGCUAGUUGGCGGGGUAACGGCACACCAAGGCGACGAUACAUAGCCGACCUGAGAGGGUGAACGGCCACACUAGGACUGAGACACGGCCCAGACUCCUACAGGAGGCAGCAGAAGGGAAGCUUCGGCAAUGGAAGGAAAUCUGACCGAGCAACGCCGAGGGGGGGGAGAAGGGUCUCGGGUCGGAAAAAUCGGUUUGAAGGGAGGAACAAGUAUGAGAGUGGAAAGUUCACGUUGUGACGGUAUCUGAACAGAAAGAGACGGCUAACUACGUG